Podarcis muralis (Common wall lizard) is the source of this 3904-nucleotide non-coding RNA. The record is from RefSeq and is a predicted model, not a curated record. NCBI's taxonomy places the organism in Eukaryota, Metazoa, Chordata, Lepidosauria, Squamata, Lacertidae.
UCCCUCGCUUCAGUUCCUUGCGCGUACUGUAUACUGCGGCGGCGGGAGCAGCGGCGGCAAGGAUACUCAAACUGCGUAGCCGGGCUCCGCUGCCAGAGCGCCGCAAUUUGCGCACGGUCCCUUACGCAACCGUCCGCUGGGGGAUUCCCUGGAGGGGGUCGAUACCAUCCCGCCACCGCACUCAAGGCCCCAGGAGCCGUUUACAGGGCGGCCUUCGGACCGAGGAGGAGGCGGCGGCGGCGCCAGCACAGCACCAACAACGGCCGCUCAGCUCUUCACAAAAUGGCGGCGCCCACGGAAAAGAGCAGCCCCAUUUUGUGCCCGUGGAGCUGUCACAGCAGCGGAGAGAGAGAGAGUGAGAGACAGGCUCGGCUGAAGGGGGGCCGCGCGGAGCAGAAGGCGGCGGCCGGGUCAACGCGUUGAAAGAGAAUCAAACCAGCACUUCUUCCCCAAGCGAAGGAUGGGCAGAGUUGUAAGACUUUUAACGCGCGUCACGUCUGGGAAUGCAUAACUCUCGUGCUCCCUUUUUGCAAUUGUGCCUUUCUGACUGUAUCUCGCCUUGUUAAAUCUGAUGCUCUCUUCCGAGUUGCAGUGCUGGCAACCCUGCAAGGUACAUCUACGUUUAUGUAAGGGAUCUCGUGUUUGGUCUUGUUAUCAAUGGCUUUUUUUUCCCUUACGAAGAUGAUGUUUCGUUUUUAACAAGCUCUUUUUUUAAAAGGGAUUUUUAAAAAAAACUAAACUUGAAUCGCUUGUUUUAAUGGUUAGAUUAUUUAGCACUAGCCUGCGGAAAUUAUUUUGAAAAGGCUUAAAAGUGAUGCCUUGAGGCUGCUGUGGUUUGCAAUGCAUUGUCCUAAUUCUGGAAAAAAACAACCAACCUCAUCGUAACGCUUUUUCAUUUCGCUUUGUGCGAUCAAAGUGCCUUAGUGAGCAGCACAAAUUAAACUACGGACUUGAUUUGGUAAUAUUUAUGAAAAAUAAACGCUCAACUGGAACACUGCCUAAUUGUAUACUCUUAAUUUGUACCGAUGUUAACAUUAACUUUGUUAGAAUGCAGAAACUGUGAUUUUGCCACAGACUUAUUUAUAGUAGAAUUUAAAAGGUAGUUAUGAAACAAAGCCACUGUGGUCAUUUCCCCAGUGCUAAUUCGUGCCCACAGUUAACUGUUUUACUAACGCAUCUACUUCUCCCUUCUGCUUACUAUCCUUUUAUGCAAUGGUUGUUGUUUUCCUAUGUGGUUUUGGCUUUCUUCUCAGGAGUAGACUGCUGCAGCUUGCUUUCUGGCAUUUUGGUUUUGUUACUUUUAAGUAUAGACAUCAUUAGUUUUUGUUAAUAAAGAACUUCAAGCUUCCUAGCGUAAGCCAUGUAUCUUUACUCAGAAGGAAGCCCCACUGCGUUCCAUGGGGUUUACUCCCAGGUAAGUUUACAUAGGAACUAUAUGCUUCAGUAGUAUGGGUUUCUCUUAGAAUUUGAGUCAUUAUAUAUGCUUUAUAUUUUAAAUAACAAGUACUUGCACUAGUUGUUGAAGGUUGUAGUCCCACAGUGUGCAUUUUAUUCAGCUAAAUAAUCAAGGCAAGAAUAUAUUUACACUAGGCAAGCAUAUCUUAUUUCUUUGUUCACACCUUGAAAAUUCUAUUUCCCAGAGCCUAUCACACUCUUAAUAUAAAAAGACUUGCUUGUUAAGCACUUUUACCAAACACAUUCUGGAAAAGACUGUUCCUUUUUAUUAAAAAAAGAUGCUUUCUUUCACAACUCUUUGUUAUAUCCAUUUUAAAUUGAGAUGCGAUUUAAGGUGAUAACGCCAAUGCAAAUAGCGUUUCUGUUUAGCGUAACUAAAAUAUUGUCAUUUGUCUUUUUAUCACCCCCCCCCAAAGUGAUUAAGUUGUGACUCUUAGCUAUAAGGAGAGUCACCUAAAAUUGAACCUUGUCACUUAAUGGUCACAUCCAUUAAGCUAGCUCUGCAGUAUGAUUUGAAGCAUCCUUACUCAAUGGUAAAUCUCACUGUACUCAGUGGGACUACCUCUUAAAGUGGAUAGAUUGGAGCCUCAACUUCACAAAUACUCAUCCUCAUAAUCCACAUGAGACUUGCAUUAAUCAAAGUACUUAUCUAAACUAAGCUAUGUAGCAAGCUGUAUUCACAUGGCUCAUGAUUUAUAUUCAAUGAAUCCUAAGUUAUCUGUUGUGGAACACCUGGAGCUGUGAUAAAUUUGUUUAUAGGAUGGCAGGCUGGUAUACAUUCUUAAAAGACAAUAAGAUAUUUGACUGUUUCUUUAACACUGUGGUCUUGGAUAAAUUUCUUUGAGCAUUUACAGCAUUUGUGUCCCUAGUUUUUAUCAGUAGCUAUAUACAUGGCAUGCUUAAAUGUUGUGUCAAUAUUUGUCCUUUCUUAUGAAACAUAACUAGGUUGAUAUAUGACAUUGGGUUGCAUUUCAAACGACAACCAAAAAAUGAAGGUUUGAGUUUCCUCAAAAAUAGGGAAAAAAAUGCUUCUUGACACUUAAGAAUCUGGUGGAUUUAAGACAAUUGGUGUAAGUUUUCCAGCAAAUGAUGCAAAAUCAUGCAGAUGAGCUUGUGCUGACCUGCAAGCCUUUAUGGUAAAAUUACUCUUAAAGGAUAGCUAACUGAUAUUCUGAGUAAGCAGAGCUAUGUAUUCAUUAAUGAGAAGGGCUAUUGGUUCCUGUAGUGAUUGUAAAGGGGAGAGUGCUCCUAAAGGAAGUGUCGAAGUCCAGUCUGACAUCUAUUCGUUUUUUUAAAAGAAAAGAGGGAGUUGUUCAGUAGGGAAGUAAGGGAACCUCUUUCAACGUAAAGGUACAGUGCCAAUAAGUGUUAUAAGAUGGGAAGUGCAAUCACCUCCCCACCCCAACCCAACCACCCCAGUUCCCAAAUGACUACAUCUCAGUACUUGGAAAAAAUUAAUACUUUCCAGUUGUCUGCCUACCAUGCAGCUGUUAAAAGCAGUUGGGGGGAGAUGAUUUCCUUUUUCUCCCAGAGAAAUUUAAGUAUGGGGGGGGUCGCCCCCCUCCAAAUGUUUACUGAGCAUAGUUAAAUUUGGUUAUUUUCUCAUCAGUUUAAUCCUAAACAUUGGUUUAUACCACACCAGCUAAACUGAGGUCCUAGGUUGAUAGCAAGGGCAGCAAUCUCUAUUUGCUUUUUAUGCAUUGAAGAACAAGGUACCUUUCUGCAUCAACACUAACUCCCUGUAUUGCAUCCUGGUAUUAAGUCAAGCUUCCAUAUUGUCAUGCCUCUCUUAAGUCUCUUAAGUAUAGGAAAUGAUCGAAGAACAGAAGUUCAGGUUUCUUCUGUACAUUACUAUUAAAUCAAAUACUCAAGCUUUGCCUAGUUUGUGAACUGAAGUUUUUGCACUAAAUAAAAACCAGUGCUCAUAUAUUAAAAGUGUAUGAACUUUGGACCAUUUUGCGCAGAACAGUAAACUAUAUUUUAGGGUUGUAAGGACAAGACUCAAUGAUUCCAAACCAGCUGCAAGGAGGAGUUCAGAAGCUUUCACUACAGUUGAAGGUUUUGAUGCAAGACUUUAACUAUACUUAAUCUUUACUGGUUUGUGGAAACAAAGCAUUGUUGAAAACUAUUUUUGGGGAGGUAGCUUGUUUCUACUAAUCAUAAUUAAGACUAACAGCAAUUUGUCUGGUUUCAGAUGCCAUGACAAGCUAUGGUUAGGUCAGAAUGGAAGCAAAAGCUUCUGAACCCUUCAAGGUAACACCAGAGGAAGAAACAAGGAGGAGUACAAGAACCGCAGAGCUGCUGGAGUUCAUCAUAAUGAUAAUCUAUAGCAGUGGUUGCCAAUGGAUGGUCUGCUGACCACAAGGAGUCUGUGUAACCCACCCACGGGUUCCGUGGCACCAUUCACAUAACAAAAACUACCGUAGAAAUAAAUAAGUUUUCAAAAGUC